RNAcentral lists this ribosomal RNA (293 nucleotides) under uncultured bacterium. RNAcentral's name for it is "partial 16S ribosomal RNA". It matches the Rfam family "Bacterial small subunit ribosomal RNA", at positions 505 to 796 of the family's 1533-position model. The record is from RNAcentral.
GUGCCAGCCGCCGCGGUAAAACGUAGGAGGCGAGCGUUAUCCGGAUUUACUGGGUGUAAAGCGCGAGCAGGCGGUUCCGUAAGUGGUGCGUGAAAGCGCCCUGGCUCAACCGGGCGAGGACGUGCCAGACUGCGGGACUUGAGAGAGGUAGAGGCGAGUGGAAUUCCGGGUGUAGUGGUGAAAUGCGUAGAGAUCCGGAGGAACACCAGUGGCGAAGGCGACUCGCUGGGCCUAUUCUGACGCUCAGACGCGAAAGCAUGGGGAGCGAACGGGAUUAGAAACCCUAGUAGUCC